RNAcentral lists this long non-coding RNA (201 nucleotides) under Elaeis guineensis (African oil palm). RNAcentral's name for it is "long non-coding RNA (EGUI_LNC029283)". Lineage: Eukaryota; Viridiplantae; Streptophyta; Magnoliopsida; Arecales; Arecaceae. The record is from RNAcentral.
GCACUUUGGAGAGAUAUAGGGUCUUUGCUGUUCGAAAAACUCAAAAACAGAGUUUUACUCCCUUGAAUUUAAUAAUAUCAGACUUACCUGUAAUUUUUUAGAAUUUUCUAACAACAUUCGAUAGGUUUAUUAAAUUUUUAUCAUUGUAGAAAUGAUAAAUUAGACUUAAUUAUCGCUCCGUCCAGAUAAAAUAAAAUACAC